RNAcentral lists this ribosomal RNA (429 nucleotides) under bacterium. Its description in RNAcentral is "partial 16S ribosomal RNA". It matches the Rfam family "Bacterial small subunit ribosomal RNA", at positions 355 to 776 of the family's 1533-position model. The record is from RNAcentral.
UAGGGAAUCUUCGGCAAUGGGGGCAACCCUGACCGAGCAACGCCGCGUGAGUGAAGAAGGUUUUCGGAUCGUAAAGCUCUGUUGUAAGAGAAGAACGUGUGUGAGAGUGGAAAGUUCACACAGUGACGGUAACUUACCAGAAAGGGACGGCUAACUACGUGCCAGCAGCCGCGGUAAUACGUAGGUCCCGAGCGUUGUCCGGAUUUAUUGGGCGUAACGCGAGCGCAGGCGGUUGAAUAAGUCUGAAGUUAAAGGCAGUGGCUUAACCAUUGUUCGCUUUGGAAUCGGUUAAUGUUGAGUUGAGGAGGGGAGAGUGGAAUUCCAUGUGUAGCGUUGAAAUGCGUAGAUAUAUGGAGGAACACCGGUGGCGAAAGCGGCUCUCUGGUCUGUAACUGACGCUGAGGCUCGAAAGCGUGGGGAGCAAACAGG